Molecule: long non-coding RNA, 1467 nt
Filed under: Calidris pugnax (ruff)
Lineage: Eukaryota; Metazoa; Chordata; Aves; Charadriiformes; Scolopacidae
Description: lncRNA (ENSCPUG00000003511.1)
Source: RNAcentral
AUGCCUCUCACUGGGCAGGACACCGAGGAGCCACCAUCUGCAGGAGAACGGAGAUCAAGCGCAUGCACGAAAGAGGUGGCUGGUUGGGAUCACAUCCAUGAAGCAACAUGCUCGCCGAUGAACAGAUUUCAAGUCAGCCAUGAAUGGCUAGGAGCUUGGCAGGGGACUCCAGGCGGUGGCUCGGGGCGGGAGCACUGUGGCUUCCCAGGAAUGUCAGAGGCGACCGGUCACCAGCAAACCCCGGGCGCGCACAGCAUGUUGGUGAUGAGAUCAGAGCGCUUCACCAGGGACUCAUACCUUCAGCCUGACAAGGGACACAGCAUUCAUUUUUGAAAGUGAGGGAAGCUCUUACUGAAUGAUUGUUUGUACGACUUUUCAGCAGCACUAAAUGCAGAGGGUGCAUUUCAGCCUGUGUAGCAAAUGCAUGUGAUAAAAGGUGAACAAGUACAUGUUUGUCCUUACAGCUCUCCUAAAAAAGUGAUUUUUCACAUAAGGACAAAUCUAAGUGGUUCCAGUAGCCUUCUGUCCACACCUACUGUCCCCAUUAGAGCCUGUUUUAUUGUCUGAAAUGCCUCUGGUUUCAAAAAAGUGUUUUACCUAAAGCAAGAAUACUACUUAAAUAUGUUCUAUUGUAUAUUCAUAGCUCCAUUAGUCCUCCUCCAAUUUAGCACAUCAAAGCAAAGGCUUCAUCACUUGCGUGUGGAUUAUGCUAACAUGAGUGACAUUUGUAAUCUUAUAGGUCUGCAACUUAAGAAAUGCUUUUAAAGUAAGCUAUUAAAUAGGUAGCUGUGCUUUACAAAUGAAUCAUAUAAUAGUUUAUUUAAAGCUGUUAAUGAACUUCAACCUCUACAUCGCUAAAUGCUAUACUACAUUACUUACUAGAAGUUAUUAGCUAUCUUCUUAGCACUUCUGGGUUAUAUUGGACAACCAAAAAUCUGUACAUGUUAGAUUUAAACACUGUACCUUGAGUGCUUAUACUGAAAGAAUAUAAAAAGAUGUCUACAGUCUCACUAAUACUUGAAUUCCAUAUUCAUAUGACUUCAAGUGUCUUUUCAAAGAUAUUGAAGCAGCACAAUUUGCAGGACUUUACCUAAAGACUUUAAUGCCAGAUCAAAAAGCUUAGAAACUUAUUUUAAAAAUAUGUAAGUGCAUUUAAUUAAAAAUUCAUACAUAGCUUCAGUCAUUUUAUUGCUUUAUAUGUUAUGCAAGUGUUCUUUUGUUUUCACCGUCUGAUACUUUACAUUAUGACAUUUUCUUUUCUCUGCAACAGUCCUAUUUUUCCCCAAGCACUGAAGUGUUAAAAGAAGAAAUUCAGCAGACCUCCAAUAUACUAGAGGUCAAGAAGUAGCCUCUGAAAAAAAAAAAAUCUGCUGUUUGUUGGUUGUUUAGCCAGACAAAUCUAUAAAUCAGCAUUUUGCGUAUGGGCAUCACAACCAAAAUAAAGGGAGCUCACUCUGUAUCUAAGCA